AUUUCCUUCUCCAGGGGAUCUUCCCGACCCAGGGAUCGAAGCUGGGUCUUCCGCAUUGCAGGCAGAUGCUUAACCCUCUGAGCCAGGACACCCUUAAUAGGGACUCCAGUGACAACGAAACCCCAGGGCCUGGGCUGGGAAGGGGUUUUGGCUAAUUUCUUCUUAGUUGAGAGGACAGACCUCAGCAUCAGUAGCUGCCCAGUGGCCAGCUCUAACCUGCGCAUUGUGGAGGAGAAGGAGCAGGAGGAUCUAUCCCGCUUCUCAGGAAUAGGAGGAGUCUGGGCCCCAGUUUUUGGAAAACCACCCGUCUGAUGGCAGAGACACAGUCAGUCUUGGGGAGCCCUCUAGGCUGAGGCUGGAGGCAUGACCCUAGGUUUGAGGUCAGAGUCUGAUGGGGGAGACAUAACAUUGUUCUGUUUUGGGGAGAUGGGCUCGACAGCCCCUCCAGGACACCAGGUAGACAUGACAGGCCAAGGUGCCAGGUUCAGGCCCAGAUUAGAGGUGCACCAUGGACCUCAGUGCCAAGCAGGGCAGGGCCACUCCACAGCUCCCAGAAACAGUGUCCCAGCUCCCCAGAGCUCAUAGGUGUGGAGUUGCACUUCCUUCUGCCUUGCCAUCCCCAGGAGGAGGGGCUGAGGAGGGGUUCCUGUUGUGGGAAUACUCCCUGAGUGGAAUCAAUGUCUGACUCAGGUCACACUUCCCUUGAUCCCUCACCACCUCUUCAACCUCCAGCAGAUGUUCAGCAGAUCAGUCUCCCCUUCUGCCUUUCACUGCAGCUAUCCAUUCAUCCAUCCAUUCAUCCAUCCAUCCAUUCUCUCCUCAUUGAACAUGCAGUGCCAGACUGGUGCCAGGUCUGGGGACACCAUGGGGACACACACAGAGUCUGCUCUUCUGGAGCUCACAGCCCAGCACCGAAGACACAGAGAGUAUCCAAACAAGGGGCACAGCCUGUGCAAAAGCCCUGAGGAUGACUAAUACUUUCUCACCGGUUUCGGCGAGCCUUUGAAAACCAUACACCAGAUCACAAGACUCCUCUGCUCAUAUCCUGCAAGACUCCCAAUACGUUCGGCCUGAGAUAACAAAGCCCUCUGUGUUCUGGCCUCGGCGGCCUCCCUGCUUCCCUCUUCUCCAGCUAUGCUGGUCUCCUCCUGGUCCCUCAAACACGCAAGCAGGUCCUCACCUCAACACAGAGCAGAGCCCUUCCUGCCCCAUCUCUCUCACCAGCGCAAGGCUUUCUGAGAUCACCCGUCUAGUGAAUGAAUGGAGGAUAGAACAGAAGAGUGACUGAAAGUGGCUGGGUGUGCCUAACCCACAGCCUGCCAGCUAAGGAUGGAUUUUACAGAAGACCAUUUGCAACUGAUUUGAGGAAAGGAAAUGCUAACUUUGAACUUCAAUGAAGCAAAAUAUUACCCUUCUCCAAAAAAAAGGGGGGGAAAAGAAUUCUACUCUUCUCAGUAGUAGAUCUGUAUCACCAAAAACAAAAUAAAAAAGUCCUUGAUUACUAUUAUUAUA
This is a long non-coding RNA of Bubalus bubalis (water buffalo), 1512 nucleotides long. RefSeq lists it as uncharacterized. NCBI's taxonomy places the organism in Eukaryota, Metazoa, Chordata, Mammalia, Artiodactyla, Bovidae. The record is from RefSeq and is a predicted model, not a curated record. The transcript has 2 exons.